UUCAGCAACCAGCCUGAACACAGACUCACCAUGGGGUUGGGGCUGAGCUGGGUUUUCCUUGCUGUGCUCUUACAAGGUGUCCAGUGUGAGGAGAAGCUGGUGGAGUCUGGAGGAGGCUUGGUGCAGCCUGGAGGGUCCCUAAAACUCUCGUGUGUGGCUUCCGGAUUAUCCUUCAGUGGUUACUACAUGAGCUGGGUUCGCCAGGCCCCAGGGAAGGGGCUGGAGUGGAUCGCAAGGAUAAGUAGUGGUGGUAGUAGCAAAUACACAGACUCUGUGACGGGCCGAUUCACCAUCUCCAGAGACAAUGCAAAGAACACCCUGUACCUGCAAAUGAACAGUCUGAGAACUGAGGACGCGGCCACCUAUUACUGUGCAAGAGACACAGUGAGUGAAUGCUAUUUGGUGCUCAGACACAAACCUCCAUGCGGAAUGCUCACGACCAGCAGGGGGCGGGGAACACACAAUUAG
Molecule: non-coding RNA, 468 nt
Organism: Nannospalax galili (Upper Galilee mountains blind mole rat)
Lineage: Eukaryota; Metazoa; Chordata; Mammalia; Rodentia; Spalacidae
Source: the annotation of a RefSeq genome assembly